GUCACAGUCGUAUAUAGAAAAGCGCCAAACUUUCAAGCUCGCUGUUGUGUCCAAAACGUUUUCUAGUCAGAGGCAGGCUUGGUGUACUGGGCCCUUACCCAACCCUGUAAUUCACCAACCCUUCUCAUCUUUAUUCUACGAAUAAACAGACAUUAAAUGGGA
Molecule: long non-coding RNA, 162 nt
Organism: Haliotis rufescens (red abalone)
Lineage: Eukaryota; Metazoa; Mollusca; Gastropoda; Lepetellida; Haliotidae
Exons: 2
Source: RefSeq, a predicted model, not a curated record